AGAGAAUGGCAGUUGCAACCCUUGUGUGUGUGUGAGAGAGAGAGAGAGACUGUCUCUGUAUCUCAAAGCAUAUUUUUAUGAGGUUCUGGAAAGAAGCUGGUCUGGGAUAAUUGUUGCUGGAGACACUGAGAGGCACUGAAAGCACCAGCAGGCAUUUUUUGACUAAACCCAAGAAAUUCGUAAAAUGUAAGACACAGUGUGAAAGGAGGGGGGAAAAAAAAGAGAAGAAAAGAAAAAAGAAAGCCCACUAACUUCCCCCAAACCCAAACUCUGCAGUUGUGAAGCCAAAGGAGCCCUCUGAAGACAGACAGUAAAGUCGACUCCCUGCAACGGAGAGUUCUUGCAAUAAGAGAACACACAAUUUUUCCUAAUUUCAUUUAUGCAAGCGAGAAUUGGGAAUGCCAGCACAGAGUCACAGAGAAGUGUGAAGGAAAGAAGCCUUUGCAUAAGACUUGCUCUUUAUCUUCUCUCAGACUGGAGAGGAGUACAUGCCUGUCUGAUCCAGCAGAAGCUGCUCUCUCCAGCGAACUGGAAGAAAUAUGGCUAAAUCAGAAUUCAGCUGAAAAACAGGACUUCCUGUAGCUACUGCAACACUGAUUUUUGUAUUGUUGGGAAGACCUAAGAUGCUGUUUUGUUUUGGUGCUGCAUUGUUUCGUGUAAGAUGAACCAGACAACUGUUUCUUUGCUACCUCUGCUCAGACUUUUCUUACCUCUUCCUACAAGGUGCCAAAUUAACUCACAAUUAACAAAAAUUGUGAAUUUUCAGAUAUAAGCUGCUCCAGGUGAUGGCCUAUUUUUGGCAGAAAUCCUUCUUUUUUCUUGACUAGGUGAUGAAGUUCCUAAUAUCAUAACUUCAGCAAAUGCCCUCAGUCAAAUAGUCUGGGGGUUGUGGGGGAACCCCUUUUUUACUUUGGGAUAUUUUAGCUGUUUAUGUGAAGUGUAGUCCAGAAUACCAAAAAUCAGAGCCCAAGUUCCCAUAUGUAGAGACCAUGGUGUAGGGAUUGGGCAAUCAUGCAU
This 1017-nucleotide long non-coding RNA is filed under the name Zonotrichia albicollis (white-throated sparrow). RNAcentral's name for it is "lncRNA (ENSZALG00000015594.1)". The record is from RNAcentral. Lineage: Eukaryota; Metazoa; Chordata; Aves; Passeriformes; Passerellidae.